Heterocephalus glaber (naked mole-rat) is the source of this 797-nucleotide long non-coding RNA. RefSeq lists it as uncharacterized. Lineage: Eukaryota; Metazoa; Chordata; Mammalia; Rodentia; Bathyergidae. The record is from RefSeq and is a predicted model, not a curated record.
UAGACUUGGACUUCCGGACUAGGCCCGGACUGGCGUGGGGGCAGGGGCGGAGCUUGGGGGCGGGUCUUAGAGGGAAAAAAGACUGCCUCACCUGAGUUUCCCAGGUACAGGAUUGAUUGCCUUUACGAUCCUGCUGAGUCACUAACUUGGCCAAGGUGGGCUUAAAUUUGAGAUCCUCCUGCCUCAGUUUCCCAGAGUGCCAGGAUUACACACCACCCACACCCAGCAAUUUGCUGAAUUUUAAAACCUCUAUGUACCUGUAAAAUCACCAGUGUUGUCAAGAUCCAGAACAUUUCUAUCACCCCUAUAAAAUUCUUUCUUCUCCUCUGCAAUCCACCACCCUUCUAUCUGCACCUGAACCCAAAGAACUACUGAUCUGCUUUGGAUCGAUAUGUUGUUUUGAGACAAAUAGCCCAACCUGCCCUCUGAUGCACAGCAAUCAUCCUGCCUCAGCUUCUGGAGUGCUGAGAUUACAGGCAUGUACCUCCAGCUUCUCAUCUAUCUUACUGACUGGAUCUGGCACUGUGUGACUUCUGGCUCUUCCCUAAAGUCAGAAUGACUGUGAAAUGAGUGAGCAGUUUAGUGAAUUGAAUCAAUUCCAGACAUGCCGCAGCCAUGAUCAUGCAAGGAAAGAUGAGAAAAAGAAUUUCCAGAAUUGCUUCAGAAAGUCAAAAGAUUAAUGGGUUAAGUGUGUUUGUUUUAUCCCCUGUACCAGGAAUCGAACUCAGGACCUUGUGCUUACCAGGCAGGCACGGUGCCACUGAGCAAAAUCCCUGGCCUAGGUUAAGUGUGUUUGA